Molecule: long non-coding RNA, 1227 nt
Filed under: Zonotrichia albicollis (white-throated sparrow)
Lineage: Eukaryota; Metazoa; Chordata; Aves; Passeriformes; Passerellidae
Description: lncRNA (ENSZALG00000000198.1)
Source: RNAcentral
GUCUGACACACCUGGGCACACACCUGGGCACACCUGGGGACAGCACCGGAACCAAUCAGGAGGUGGCACUGUUUGCUUUUCUGUGUGUUGGUUACACCUGUGGUGGCACCUGUCAGGUCCCCCAGGGCAGGGUCACACCUGGGCACUCACCUGGAGACAGCUGGGAACUCACCUGGUGGCACCUGGGCACAGCUGGAGACAGCUGGAGACAGCUGGGAACUCACCUGGUGGCACCUGGAGACACCUGAGAACAGUUGGGCACACCUGGACACACCUGGUGGCACCUGGAGACAUAUGUGGGGAGAGCUGGACACACCUGGUGGCACCUGGACACACCUGGGGACACCUGGGCACAGCUGAGAACAGCUGGGCACACCUGGACACACCUGGUGGCACCUGGGAACAGCUGGGAACUCACCUGGUGGCACCUGAGGACAGCACCAGGACAGGACAGGAGAUGGUGCCAGUGUGUCAGUGGCACCUGGUGGCACCUGGGCACACCUGGUGGCACCUGGACACACCUGGGGACAGCUGGACACACCUGGGCACACCUGGUGAACCUGAGGACCUGAUCAGGAGGUGGCACCGUUUGUUUCUGUGUGUGUUGGUGGCACCUGUGGUGGCACUGUCACCUCCCCCAGAGCAGGGUGACACCUGGGCACACCUGGGCACACCUGGGGACCAUCACGGACCAGGAGCAGGACAGGAGGUGGCACCACGGUGACAUCGUUCAUUUCUCUGUCUGUUGGUGGCACCUGGGACCAGGUGAGGUCACACCUGGGCACGGCACAGGAAGGGGACAGGAGGUGGCACUGAGGUGACAUCGGUCAUUUCUGUGUGCUGGUGGCACCUGGACAGGUUUGGUGGCACCUGGGCACACCUGGUGGCACCUGGGCACACCUGAGGUGGCACCUGGGCACACCUGGUGGCACCUGGGCACACCUGAGGUGGCACUUGGGCACACCUGAGGUGGCACCUGGACAGGUUUGGUGGCACCUGGACACACCUGAGGUGGCACUUGGGCACACACCUGGUGGCACCUGGACAGGUUUGGUGGCACCUGGGCACACCUGGUGGCACCUGGACAGGUUUGGUGGUACCUGGACACACCUGGUGGCACCUGGGCACACCUGGUGGCACCUGGACAGGUCUGGUGGCACCUGGGCACACCUGGUGGCACCUGGGCACACCUGAGGUGGCACCUGCCAUUGUCACCUGUCCCCAGGG